UGCAGAAAGCGGAGUCGCCCGACCCUCCAGGGAGCGGCGUCGUGGAGGUCCCCGCCCGCGGUCUGCAGGCUGCUGUUCCUGGGCCAAAGGGGACACGUGCUUACAGCCCGGAGGCGGCCGGGCUCCAAGGAGAAGAUGCGUCCGGCCGCCGCCGGGUGGAGAGGCGACUUCCUCCGCCCUGGCAGAGCCUCGGACUGAAGCCCAGAGGACCCCAGCACUGCGCAGAGCCUUCUCCAGGCCUCAGGGCCUCGCAGAGCUUCAUCUUUCCAAGUGAGAACGCUCACCAGGGCUUGCCUAGCAGCCGUCCACUCGGGGAGCGCCAGUGGAGCUCGCGAAGGACUGACAGCUGCGGGUAGGAGAGGAGUCUGGGGAGGAUGGUAGACAGAGAACCGAAGCGCGAGAACCGACCGCACAGCCUCGCGGUGUUGGAGAGGCCAGGGCUCCUGCCCCUGGAGCCUCCAUCCGUACUAGUGAUUGGACCCAGGGAUCCUUCACCACUGAGCUACAUCUUCCACCUUUUAAAGUUUUAUUUUGAGAAAGGGUCCUGCUAACUGGAUGAGGUGCCUCCUGCUUCAGACUCCCAGGUAUGUGGGAUUACAGAGGUGUACUAUCCUACCUGGCUUAGGAAAAUGUUUUUUAGUAACUUUUUUAAAAUUUAAGUUUAUGUAAGUGAUCAUUACCUUGCUUAAGUUAAUCAGGGCAGUAACUAAAUUUUUAGAGAUCUAAUUUCUCUAUUCACUUCAGACAGAAAAAGAACGUAUCAAUUUCCUAAGAAUAAUGUAUUUAUAUGUCUGAAAGAAUUUUAUCAAACUCGUGGAGCUUCUAAAGAAACCAUCUAUGGUGCAGCAAGAAAGCAGGAUACUAGGGCUGAGAAAGCAAUUAGCAGAAAACAGACAGCCACAUCCUACAUCCUGGGUUCCAGCACACUUGUGGUGAUAUGAAGCAGAAAAACAUCUUAGAAACAGCUUAAUGUUGUUUAUUCCAUAACACUAACACUUAUCACAUAAUCCUAUUAUCCUACUUAUAUACUUAUAUACUACUUAUAUAUUAUUCAUAACCUAUAAUUCAUAUUGAUUAAGCUCAGACCAUAACAGCGUAUAGAUGAGGGAAACAAGAAGAAAUAUUUAAGCACCACCAGAACCUUGGAAACCCCCCUUGAUGAAGAUUUGAGUAAUUCUAUGAUGCCUUUUUGAGUCUGGCAGUACAUUCUCUUUCUCGGGAUAGGAAGUAAAAUUGCUUUUCAUCCACUGUUA
This is a long non-coding RNA of Ictidomys tridecemlineatus (thirteen-lined ground squirrel), 1253 nucleotides long. RefSeq lists it as uncharacterized. NCBI's taxonomy places the organism in Eukaryota, Metazoa, Chordata, Mammalia, Rodentia, Sciuridae. The record is from RefSeq and is a predicted model, not a curated record.